AAACUGCGAUAAGUAGUGUGAAUUGCAUUUAGUGAAUCAUCGAAUCUUUGAACGCACCCUGCACUCACUGGUAUUCCGGUGAGUACGCCUGUUUCAGUAUCAUUGAAAACACACAAUCAAAACAUUUUCUUUGGUUUGAUUGGCUUUGGGUCUAUCAAAAAGUUUGGCUUGUUUCUUACAAGCCAAGCGGCCUGAAAUAUAUUGUCUGGCUAAUUGCAUCGUUGAUGAUCGCUAUUAGACUUUGGCUUUUUUAAAUGAACUGGAGGUUGAUUAACCAGUUUUAGCUUUAGUCAAAUGGUCAUUAUAAAAAAAAUCUCGAUCUUGGCUAGGUGUUUAUAGCCGAAAAUUUUUUUUUGGCUAUAACCGAAACCAAUAUAAUCACAUUUAGUUAUCGAUCUGAAAUCAGGUGGGACUACCCGCUGAACUUAAGC
This 431-nucleotide unclassified non-coding RNA is filed under the name plant metagenome. RNAcentral describes it as "partial contains 5.8S ribosomal RNA, internal transcribed spacer 2, and large subunit ribosomal RNA". The stretch from base 1 to 102 matches the Rfam family "5.8S ribosomal RNA", at positions 50 to 154 of the family's 154-position model. The record is from RNAcentral.